This 324-nucleotide ribosomal RNA is filed under the name Triticum aestivum (bread wheat). RNAcentral's name for it is "partial small subunit ribosomal RNA". The record is from RNAcentral. Lineage: Eukaryota; Viridiplantae; Streptophyta; Magnoliopsida; Poales; Poaceae.
UACAAGAGUUUCGUGAUGAACUAUAACAUGCAAGGGAUGGAUAAGACGAUUCUCGAGCUCUUCGCAAUGCUAAAGGCUGCGGAGGUAGAAAUCAAAAAGGAGCAUCAAGUGUUGAUGGUCAAUAAGACCACCAGUUUCAAGAAAAAGGGCAAAGGGAAGAAGGGGAACUUCAAGAAGAACAGCAAGCAAGUUGCUGCUCAGGAGAAGAAACCCAAGUCUGGACCUAAGCCUGAGACUGGGUGCUUCUACUGCAAGCAGACUGAUUACUGGAAGCGGAACUGCCCUAAGUAUUUGGCGGAUAAGAAGGAUGGCAAGGAGAACAAA